CAAACUAAAGAUGGCGACCGGCGCACGGGUGAGUAACACGUAUCCAACCUGCCGAUAACUCGGGGAUAGCCUUUCGAAAGAAAGAUUAAUAUCCGAUAGUAUAUUAAAACCGCAUGGUUUUACUAUUAAAGAAUUUCGGUUAUCGAUGGGGAUGCGUUCCAUUAGGCAGUUGGUGAGGUAACGGCUCACCAAACCUUCGAUGGAUAGGGGUUCUGAGAGGAAGGCCCCCCACAUUGGAACUGAGACACGGUCCAA
Molecule: ribosomal RNA, 255 nt
Filed under: uncultured bacterium
Lineage: Bacteria
Description: partial 16S ribosomal RNA
Rfam family: Bacterial small subunit ribosomal RNA
Source: RNAcentral